CGGGGCGUAGCGCAGCCCGGCUAGCGCACUCCCUUGGGGUGGGAGUGGUCGCAGGUUCAAAUCCUGUCGCCCCGA
Molecule: transfer RNA, 75 nt
Filed under: Deltaproteobacteria bacterium GWA2_45_12
Lineage: Bacteria; Deltaproteobacteria
Description: tRNA-Pro
Rfam family: tRNA
About the family: Transfer RNA (tRNA) molecules are approximately 80 nucleotides in length. Their secondary structure includes four short double-helical elements and three loops (D, anti-codon, and T loops). Further hydrogen bonds mediate the characteristic L-shaped molecular structure. tRNAs have two regions of fundamental functional importance: the anti-codon, which is responsible for specific mRNA codon recognition, and the 3' end, to which the tRNAs corresponding amino acid is attached (by aminoacyl-tRNA synthetases). tRNAs cope with the degeneracy of the genetic code in two manners: having more than one tRNA (with a specific anti-codon) for a particular amino acid; and 'wobble' base-pairing, i.e. permitting non-standard base-pairing at the 3rd anti-codon position.
Source: RNAcentral